ACUUGGAGUGCUCAGUGAGAGGCUGCAGGACAAAUUCAGGCAGCUCCAGGACAUCGGGAGAGAGCUGAGGCCACAGGGAAAUCCACAGCAGCAAUGGAAGGCCCAGCACUGCCUUCUGAGAGAGGAAUGCCCUCCUGACGAGUGCCAGGAGCUGCAGAGGCUCCAGCAGGCUGGGGCCAAACUUGGAGUGCUCAGAGAGCGGCUGCAGGUUAUAUGCAGGCAGCUCCAGGACAUCGGGAGAAAGCUGAGGCCAUGUGGAAAUCCCAAACAGCAGUGGAAGGCCCAGCACUGCCUGCUGAGGGAGGAAUGCCCUCCGGAAGAGUGCCAGGAGCUGCAGAGGCUCCAGCAGGCUUGCGCCAAACUUGGAGUGCUCAGCGAUCAGUUGCAGGAGAAAUGCAGGCAGUUCCAGAUCGGUAGAAGGCUGAGGCCACACGGAAAUCCACAACAGCAAUGGAUGGCCCAGCCAUGCCUGCUUAGGGAAGAAGGCCCUCCUGAACAGUGCCAGGAGCUGCAGAGGCUCCAGCAGAGUGGCACCAAACUUGCAAUACUCAGCAAGCAGCUGGAGGAGAAAUGCAGCCAGCUCCAGACCGGGAGAAAGCUGAGGCCACAGAGAAAUCCCAAACAGCAAUGGAAGGCCCAGCACUGCCUUCUGAGUGAGGAAUGCCCUCCGGGAGAAUGCCAGGAGCUGCAGAGGCUCCAGCAGGCUGGGGCAAUACUUGGAGUGCUCAGCGAGCAGCUUGAGGAGAAAUGCAGGCAGCUCCAGAUGGGGAGAAAUCUGAGGCCACAGGGAAAUCCCGAAAAGCAAUGGAAGGCCCAGCCAUACCUGCUGAGAGUGGAAGGCUUUACUGAAGAGCGCCAGGAGCUGCAGAGGCUCCAGCAGGCUGGCACCAAACUUGAAGUGCUCAGAGAGCGGCUGCAGGUGAUAUGCAGGCAGCUCCAGAUUGGGAGAAAGCUGAGGCCACAAGGAAAUCCCAAAAUGCAAUGGAAGGCCCAGCACUGCCUGCUGAGGGAGGAAGGCCCUCCUGAAGAGGGCCAGGAGCUGCAGAGGCUCCAGCAGGCUGGGGCCAAACUUGGAGUGCUCAGAGAGCGGCUGCAGGUUAUAUGCAGGCAGCUCCAGGACAUCGGGAGAAAGCUGAGGCCAUGUGGAAAUCCCAAACAGCAGUGGAAGGCCCAGCACUGCCUGCUGAGGGAGGAAUGCCCUCCGGAAGAGUGCCAGGAGCUGCAGAGGCUCCAGCAGGCUUGCGCCAAACUUGGAGUGCUCAGCGAUCAGUUGCAGGAGAAAUGCAGGCAGUUCCAGAUCGGUAGAAGGCUGAGGCCACACGGAAAUCCACAACAGCAAUGGAUGGCCCAGCCAUGCCUGCAGAGGGAGGAACACCCUCCUGAAGAGUGCCAAAAGCUGCAGAGGCUCCAGCAGAGUGGCGCCAAACUUGCAGUGCUCAGCGAUCAGCUAGAGGAGAAAUGCAGGCAGCUCCAGAUUGUGAGAAAGCUGAGGCCACAGAGAAAUCCCAAAAAGCAAUGGAAGGCCCAGCCAUGCCUGCUGAGAGUGGAAGGCUUUACUGAAGAGUGCCAGGAGCUGCAGAGGCUCCAGCAGGCUGGGACCAUACUUGAAGUGCUCAGAGAGCGGCUGCAGGUGAUAUGCAGGCAGCUCCAGAUCGGUAGAAAGCUGAGGCCACAGGGAAAUCCCAUACAGCAGUGGAAGGCCCAGCCAUGCCUGCUGAGAGUGGAAGGCCCUCCUGAACACUGCCAAGAGCAGCAGAGGCUCCUGCAGGCUGGGGCCAAACUUGUAAUACUCAGCGAUCAGCUUGAGGAGAAAUGCAGGCGCCUCCAGGAGAUCGGGAGAAAGCUGAGGCCACAUGGAAA
Molecule: long non-coding RNA, 1860 nt
Organism: Gallus gallus (chicken)
Lineage: Eukaryota; Metazoa; Chordata; Aves; Galliformes; Phasianidae
Source: Ensembl